Molecule: non-coding RNA, 82 nt
Filed under: Pelagodinium bei
Lineage: Eukaryota; Dinophyceae; Suessiales; Suessiaceae
Source: RNAcentral
UUUGGAGCAUGGGGGUCAUUUGCUACAUGCUGCUGCUGGGCAGGCCUCCAUUCCGAGGGAAGGACAACGUGCACAUCGCCAA